GCUGGCGUAGCUCAGUUGGCAGAGCAUCUGAUUUGUAAUCAGAGGGUCAGGGGUUCAAAUCCCUUCGCCAGCU
RNAcentral lists this transfer RNA (73 nucleotides) under Terriglobia bacterium. RNAcentral's name for it is "tRNA-Thr". It matches the Rfam family "tRNA". Rfam says of the family: Transfer RNA (tRNA) molecules are approximately 80 nucleotides in length. Their secondary structure includes four short double-helical elements and three loops (D, anti-codon, and T loops). Further hydrogen bonds mediate the characteristic L-shaped molecular structure. tRNAs have two regions of fundamental functional importance: the anti-codon, which is responsible for specific mRNA codon recognition, and the 3' end, to which the tRNAs corresponding amino acid is attached (by aminoacyl-tRNA synthetases). tRNAs cope with the degeneracy of the genetic code in two manners: having more than one tRNA (with a specific anti-codon) for a particular amino acid; and 'wobble' base-pairing, i.e. permitting non-standard base-pairing at the 3rd anti-codon position. The record is from RNAcentral. Lineage: Bacteria; Pseudomonadati; Acidobacteriota; Terriglobia.